This 292-nucleotide ribosomal RNA is filed under the name uncultured prokaryote. RNAcentral describes it as "partial 16S ribosomal RNA". It matches the Rfam family "Bacterial small subunit ribosomal RNA", at positions 505 to 796 of the family's 1533-position model. The record is from RNAcentral.
GUGCCAGCCGCCGCGGUAAUACGGGGGGUGCAAGCGUUACUCGGAAUCACUGGGCGUAAAGAGCAUGUAGGCGGAUUGAUAAGUUUGAAGUGAAAUCCUAUAGCUUAACUAUAGAACUGCUUUGAAAACUGUUAAUCUAGAAUGUGGGAGAGGUAGAUGGAAUUUCUGGUGUAGGGGUAAAAUCCGUAGAGAUCAGAAGGAAUACCGAUUGCGAAGGCGAUCUACUGGAACAUUAUUGACGCUGAGAUGCGAAAGCGUGGGGAGCAAACAGGAUUAGAUACCCCUGUAGUCC